CAGUCGCCACGGUAAUACGAAGGGGGCUAGCGUUGCUCGGAAUGACUGGGCGUAAAGCGUGCGCAGGCGGACCGUUAAGUUGGGGGUGAAAGCCCGGGGCUCAACCUCGGAAUUGCCUUCAAUACUGGCGAUCUUGGGUAUGGAAGAGGUAUGUGGAACUCCGAGUGUAGAGGUGAAAUUCGUAGAUAUUCGGAAGAACACCAGUGGCGAAGGCGACAUACUGGUCCAUUACUGACGCUGAGGCUCGAAAGCGUGGGGAGCAAACAGGAUUAGAGACCCCCGUAGUCCCUGUCUCUUAUAC
RNAcentral lists this ribosomal RNA (301 nucleotides) under uncultured bacterium. RNAcentral's name for it is "partial 16S ribosomal RNA". It matches the Rfam family "Bacterial small subunit ribosomal RNA", at positions 509 to 807 of the family's 1533-position model. The record is from RNAcentral.